This is a long non-coding RNA of Chrysemys picta bellii (western painted turtle), 1670 nucleotides long. The record is from Ensembl. Lineage: Eukaryota; Metazoa; Chordata; Testudines; Emydidae.
AGAGCAGGGACGGCUGUUGCCUUUGGAGGGUGGGGGAUUAUCGGGGUCCAACCCCAGGGCCCCUGUUACCGAGGGGCCAGAGACACUGAGCUGGGAUCCAGGCUGGGCUCUGGUUCUGUUACCGACAAGAGGGGUUGGGAUCGAGGGUUCUGCUUUGGGCCUGACUCUCAAACAUCCAUAUCAGGUCUGGCCCUGUCCCUCUGUCUGUCCGUAGUGUGUUCCCUGCUGCAGGCUCUGCUGGGGAAGUGAGGGGCUGAGCUCAGUUAAUGGGUCUGAGGAUGAGCGUAGGCGCUGCCGGGCUGUUAGCAGAGCCCUGUACAGAGACUCCCAGUGCUGAUUCCCCGGGAGCAUGAGAUCCCUCCAGGCCGCCUGCAUGGGCCUCACCAGCCCAGAGGGGAUCUGGGGGGUCAGGGCUCUGCACAGUGCCUGGCACAGCCCUAUGGAGCAGGCCGGGGUGUCCCUGGUGGGAUGGGUGGGGCUGGAACCAGGUCCCAUGCUCCUCUGUGUGGAAGAGAGAGGGGGGCCCUGGUUCCCAGGUUCCUGCAUGUGAAUCCCGUUCAGUGCAUGGGGCUGGGGAGGGCAAUGGGGCAUGUUACAGACCCAGAGCCCGCCCCUCUCUGCAGGGGGCACUGUCAUCUCGGGAGUGGGGGCCAUGGGGAGAGCAGAGACCCCAUCAGCUUCUCAGGGGCGAUUCUAGCCCAGCACUGAACACACGGCACCUUUCUGUUCCCAGGGCUGAGUCCCAGCAGCCAGGAGAUCUGCUCAGCUCCCGGUGCUCUCCCUGCCCCCACCCUCUACCUGAGCCAGAUGUCUGCCCGGCCGGUGGACUCUGUGAGGCUCCAGUGCUCCAUGAUCUCCCAUCUCCUGGCCUCCCGCAUUGUCUUCUGUCAGGAUGGGGAGGAGGUUUGGUCCCAGAGGGGCUUAUCUGGGAAACUCACCUACGACUAUGACCACGCAGUAUCUGGGGCAAGCUCCAGGAAUUACUCCUGUGCAUACGAGAUCAAGGACAGUGACAACCAGGUGAUCAGGUCCCAGCUCAGCCCUCCCCAGCACCUCAUCGGCACCAGUAAGGCCAAUGUGAGUGUGAGACCAUAUCCCAGCUCAGCCCUGCCCAGCAACUCAGCACCGUGGGAAGGACUGGAAAAUGUUACAAUAUUGGCAAUUACAAUUCCUGUUUCGGUGGGUGUGAUUUUGGCUCUUGUUCUGCCCCUGGUGUAUUACCUUAAGAAGAAGAAGAAAGUUGUAAAUAAUAGGAGAAAAGAAAGGUUGCAAAACCUCUAUGGGAAGAACAAUAAUCCCACUGAAGAUCAGUACACGGCUAACAAUGGGGUUGCAUAUUCCCAUGGCAUGGGUAAAGAAGCCCCGGAGCCGAUCUAUGAAAAUUUUGAUCUAGCGGAUGUGCCUCCUUCUACACAUCACUCCGAACAGACGUAUGAAUCUGUCUUUCCGCUAUAUGCGAACGACGUGUACAGGCCAUGAGAGGUGCAGGAUGUUGGAAGAUAAGCGUCUCAGUUUAGCUUUUUCAAGGAUUGAUUUCAAUGUGUCAAAGCCAGCAGAAGAGGGAAGAAGAGGACACUCCGGCACUGAAGGAACAUUUCAGAAAUUUGAAAAUAUGAAGAAUUUUUGGUUUUUGAAGAGAGAAAUAAAGAGCAACAUGACUUUAACCUACA